RNAcentral lists this ribosomal RNA (250 nucleotides) under Blastocrithidia sp. 18 ex Nyssomyia whitmani. RNAcentral describes it as "partial 24S alpha ribosomal RNA". The record is from RNAcentral. Lineage: Eukaryota; Euglenozoa; Kinetoplastea; Trypanosomatida; Trypanosomatidae.
GCAGAUCUUGGUUGGCGUAGCAAAGAUUUAACGGAGAUACCAUCNACCUCCAACGUUGGAUACUGGAGCGGGGAAGGAUUUCGUGCCCACGGCCCUCGUACCCGAGUUGUUCGGAUCCUGAGCCCAACGUUACAUCGUUUUGUUAGGAAAGUGAAGGUGUGUCGGCGGAAUUGCAGCUCUUCCCUCUCUUCACGGGGAGGACCUAAAUGGCUUUCAACUGGCCAUAAUUGAAAAGGGGCAACAGAGAACC